Molecule: unclassified non-coding RNA, 450 nt
Filed under: Roseovarius albus
Lineage: Bacteria; Pseudomonadati; Pseudomonadota; Alphaproteobacteria; Rhodobacterales; Roseobacteraceae
Description: cspA
Source: RNAcentral
GGUGGUUAAUUGCCGAUUUUCCAUGCAAAGCCUUGCAAAUUCGAGAGCUUCCCUCCAUAUGGAAACUGCUAACGUUAUUCUAUUUCGACCCACUGUCUCCCGAUCUUCGGCCUUCAGUCUAUCGAUCCAGACCAAACGCGCCGAGUUGCCGCACUAACGCGGGCAGCACUAAACUAGGAGACUACGGAUAUGGCCACUGGCACCGUAAAAUGGUUCAACACAACUAAAGGCUACGGCUUCAUCGCACCUGAAGGUGGCAGCAAAGAUGUAUUUGUACACAUCUCAGCUGUUGAGCGUUCAGGCCUGACAGGUCUGGCUGACAACCAAAAAGUAACCUUCGACAUCGAAGCAGGCCGUGACGGCCGCGAGUCGGCUGUUAACAUCUCGGUUGACUAAGCUUUUAAAGCUCUAAGUUAGUGAAACGCGGUCCAACUGGGGCCGCGUUUUUCG